AAACUUUCAACAACGGAUCUCUUGGCUCUGGCAUCGAUGAAGAACGCAGCGAAAUGCGAUAAGUAAUGCGAAUUGCAGAAUUCCGUGAGUCAUCGAAUCUUUGAACGCACAUUGCGCCCCCCGGUAUCCCGGAGGGCAUGCCUGUCCGAGCGUCAUU
RNAcentral lists this ribosomal RNA (157 nucleotides) under Dermatocarpon multifolium. RNAcentral's name for it is "5.8S ribosomal RNA". It matches the Rfam family "5.8S ribosomal RNA". Rfam says of the family: 5.8S ribosomal RNA (5.8S rRNA) is a component of the large subunit of the eukaryotic ribosome. It is transcribed by RNA polymerase I as part of the 45S precursor that also contains 18S and 28S rRNA. Lineage: Eukaryota; Fungi; Ascomycota; Eurotiomycetes; Verrucariales; Verrucariaceae. The record is from RNAcentral.